Gopherus flavomarginatus (Mexican gopher tortoise) is the source of this 66-nucleotide non-coding RNA. The record is from the annotation of a RefSeq genome assembly. Lineage: Eukaryota; Metazoa; Chordata; Testudines; Testudinidae.
GCCCAGGUAGCUCAGUUGGUAGAGCAUCAGGCUCUUAACCUGAAGGUUCAAGCCCCUCUCUGGGUG